UUUCCGUAGGUGAACCUGCGGAAGGAUCAUUAUUGAAUUUUGAAGGGGUUGUAGCUGAUCUUUUUUAAAAGAUAUGUGCACACCUCUAUCUACACACCCAUGUGCACUUUUUGUAGGCUUUAUUGCCUAUGUUUAUCAUAUAAACACACAUUUGUUACAAGAAUGUUAUUGAUGAAAUUUAAUAUAUACAACUUUCAACAACGGAUCUCUUGGCUCUCGCAUCGAUGAAGAACGCAGCGAAAUGCGAUAAGUAAUGUGAAUUGCAGAAUUCAGUGAAUCAUCGAAUCUUUGAACGCACCUUGCGCUCCUUGGUAUUCCGAGGAGCAUGCCUGUUUGAGUGUCAUUAAAUUAUCAACCUCUUCUAGAGGCUUGGAUUUGGAGUGUUGCUGGCUCAUUGUUGGCUCCUCUUAAAUGCAUCAAGCUUGUUGUAGGCUUUGGUUUGAUAAUAUCUAUGCCAUCGCUGUAAUGCAAAACAAACAACCUUUGAAAUUUGACCUCAAAUCAGGUAGGACUACCCGCUGAACUUAAGCAUAUCAAUAAGCGGAGGAAAAGAAACUAACAAGGAUU
This 567-nucleotide ribosomal RNA is filed under the name Hygrophorus exiguus. Its description in RNAcentral is "eukaryotic LSU rRNA". The stretch from base 190 to 343 matches the Rfam family "5.8S ribosomal RNA". Lineage: Eukaryota; Fungi; Basidiomycota; Agaricomycetes; Agaricales; Hygrophoraceae. The record is from RNAcentral.